GUCUAUUAGCUCAGUCGGUAGAGCAGGGGACUGAAAAUCCCCGUGUCGGUGGUUCGAUUCCGCCUCUGGGCACCA
RNAcentral lists this transfer RNA (75 nucleotides) under Clostridioides difficile. Its description in RNAcentral is "tRNA-Phe(gaa)". The stretch from base 7 to 64 matches the Rfam family "tRNA", at positions 8 to 63 of the family's 71-position model. Rfam says of the family: Transfer RNA (tRNA) molecules are approximately 80 nucleotides in length. Their secondary structure includes four short double-helical elements and three loops (D, anti-codon, and T loops). The record is from RNAcentral. Lineage: Bacteria; Bacillati; Bacillota; Clostridia; Peptostreptococcales; Peptostreptococcaceae.